This 467-nucleotide ribosomal RNA is filed under the name uncultured bacterium. Its description in RNAcentral is "partial 16S ribosomal RNA". It matches the Rfam family "Bacterial small subunit ribosomal RNA", at positions 28 to 507 of the family's 1533-position model. The record is from RNAcentral.
GACGAACGCUGGCGGCGUGCUUAACACAUGCAAGUCGAACGGAAAGGCCCUGCUUUUGUGGGGUGCUCGAGUGGCGAACAGGUGAGUAACACGUGAGUAACCUGCCCUUGACUUUGGGAUAACUUCAGGAAACUGGGGCUAAUACCGGAUAGGAGCUCCUGCUGCAUGGUGGGGGUUGGAAAGUUUCGGCGGUUGGGAUGGACUCGCGGCUUAUCAGCUUGUUGGUGGGGUAGUGGCUUACCAAGGCUUUGACGGGUAGCCGGCCUGAGAGGGUGACCGGCCACAUUGGGACUGAGAUACGGCCCAGACUCCUACGGGAGGCAGCAGUGGGGAAUAUUGCACAAUGGGCGGAAGCCUGAUGCAGCAACGCCGCGUGCGGGAUGACGGCCUUCGGGUUGUAAACCGCUUUCGCCUGUGACGAAGCGUGAGUGACGGUAAUGGGUAAAGAAGCACCGGCUAACUACGUG